GCAAGUCGAACGAGAACGGAUUUAAGUUUACUUAAAUUGUCAGCUAAGUGGCGCACGGGUGAGUAAUAUAUAGGUAAUGUGCCCUAGAGAAGAGGAUAACAGUUGGAAACGACUGCUAAGACUCUAUAUGCCUUUAAGACAUAAGUCUGCAAGGGAAAUAUUUAUAGCUCUAGGAUCGGCCUGUACAGUAUCAGUUAGUUGGUGAGGUAAUGGCUCACCAAGACAAUGACGCUUAACUGGUUUGAGAGGAUGAUC
Molecule: ribosomal RNA, 255 nt
Filed under: uncultured bacterium
Lineage: Bacteria
Description: partial 16S ribosomal RNA
Rfam family: Bacterial small subunit ribosomal RNA
Source: RNAcentral